This 71-nucleotide transfer RNA is filed under the name Danionella translucida. It matches the Rfam family "tRNA". Rfam says of the family: Transfer RNA (tRNA) molecules are approximately 80 nucleotides in length. Lineage: Eukaryota; Metazoa; Chordata; Actinopteri; Cypriniformes; Danionidae. The record is from Rfam by way of RNAcentral. RNAcentral also lists the same sequence under 1 other name.
UUUCCUUUGGCUCAGUCAGUAGAGCAUUGCACUAGCAACGCAAAGGUUGUGGGUUCAAAUCACAGGACAAA